This 492-nucleotide ribosomal RNA is filed under the name uncultured bacterium. RNAcentral's name for it is "partial 16S ribosomal RNA". It matches the Rfam family "Bacterial small subunit ribosomal RNA", at positions 29 to 507 of the family's 1533-position model. The record is from RNAcentral.
AGUGAACGCUGGCGGUAGGCCUAACACAUGCAAGUCGAACGGCAGCACAGUAAGAGCUUGCUCUUACGGGUGGCGAGUGGCGGACGGGUGAGGAAUACAUCGGAAUCUACUUUUUCGUGGGGGAUAACGUAGGGAAACUUACGCUAAUACCGCAUACGACCUACUGGUGAAAGCAGGGGAUCUUCGGACCUUGCGCGAUUGAAUGAGCCGAUGUCGGAUUAGCUAGUUGGCGGGGUAAAGGCCCACCAAGGCGACGAUCCGUAGCUGGUCUGAGAGGAUGAUCAGCCACACUGGAACUGAGACACGGUCCAGACUCCUACGGGAGGCAGCAGUGGGGAAUAUUGGACAAUGGGAGCAAGCCUGAUCCAGCCAUACCGCGUGGGUGAAGAAGGCCUUCGGGUUGUAAAGCCCUUUUGUUGGGAAAGAAAAGCAGCAGGUUAAUACCCCGCUGUUCUGACGGUACCCAAAGAAUAAGCACCGGCUAACUUCGUG